AGCAGCCGCGGUAAUUCCAGCUCCAAUAGCGUAUAUUAAAGUUGUUGCAGUUAAAAAGCUCGUAGUUGAAUUUCGAGACCGGUUUAUUGGUCGUGCUUUUGUACGUACUGGUAUUAUUGGUUUCUCCUUUCUGACGAAUCUUAAUGCCAUUAAUUUGGUGUUUUGGGGAAUCAGGACUGUUACUUUGAAAAAAUUAGAGUGUUUAAAGCAGGCUCACGCUUGAAUACAUUAGCAUGGAAUAACGGAAUAGGACGUUUGAUUCUAUUUUGUUGGUUUCUAGGAUCGACGUAAUGAUUAAUAGGGAUAGUUGGGGGCAUUAGUAUUCAAUUGUCAGAGGUGAAAUUCUUGGAUUUAUUGAAGACUAACUACUGCGAAAGCAUUUGCCAAGGAUGUUUUCAUUAAUCAAGAACGAAAGUUAGGGGAUCGAAGACGAUCAGAUACCGUCGUAGUCUUAACCAUAAACUAUGCCGACUAGGGAUCGGGAUGAUGUUAAUUUUUUAAUGACUCAUUCGGCGCCUUA
This 520-nucleotide ribosomal RNA is filed under the name uncultured Glomus. RNAcentral's name for it is "SSU rRNA". It matches the Rfam family "Eukaryotic small subunit ribosomal RNA", at positions 569 to 1090 of the family's 1831-position model. Lineage: Eukaryota; Fungi; Glomeromycota; Glomeromycetes; Glomerales; Glomeraceae. The record is from RNAcentral.